This 467-nucleotide ribosomal RNA is filed under the name uncultured soil bacterium. RNAcentral's name for it is "bacterial SSU rRNA". It matches the Rfam family "Bacterial small subunit ribosomal RNA", at positions 26 to 518 of the family's 1533-position model. The record is from RNAcentral.
AGAACGAACGCUGGCGGCAUGCCUAACACAUGCAAGUCGAACGAGACCUUCGGGUCUAGUGGCGCACGGGUGCGUAACGCGUGGGAAUCUGCCCUUGGGUUCGGAAUAACAGUUGGAAACGACUGCUAAUACCGGAUGAUGACGUAAGUCCAAAGAUUUAUCGCCCAGGGAUGAGCCCGCGUAGGAUUAGCUAGUUGGUGAGGUAAAGGCUCACCAAGGCGACGAUCCUUAGCUGGUCUGAGAGGAUGAUCAGCCACACUGGGACUGAGACACGGCCCAGACCUCCGUACGGGAGGCCAGCAGGUGGGGAAUAGUUGGACAAGUGGGACGAAAGCCUGAUCCAGCAAUGCCGCGUGAGUGAUGGAAGGUCCGUUCGGUUAGUAAAGUCCGUUACGUUUUACCCGGGAUGGAAUAAGUAGACCGUAGGUACCGGGAGUAAAUAAGGCCUACCGGUACUAACGUCCCGU